Molecule: non-coding RNA, 5478 nt
Organism: Manis javanica (Malayan pangolin)
Lineage: Eukaryota; Metazoa; Chordata; Mammalia; Pholidota; Manidae
Source: RefSeq, a predicted model, not a curated record
UUGCCCUUGCUUGCCCACAGCAAAGAUGGUUCUGGUCACUUCCUUUCCAACAGCCUUUUCCCAUAACAAAUAUGGCGCUUCUGCUUCCGGAUUCUGGGCUGCUGUUGCGCGGCGGACUAUGGCAACAGAGGAAGCCACUCCAGGCAGCCAGUCAGAGGAGAGCAAUGCUCUGGACCUGCCAUCUGCUUUUGACUUGAGGGAUUAUGUGCUGCAGAGACCCAACCAGGAGGUCAACAGUGAGGCUUUUAGUUCUGUGGAAGCCCCUUCAUUUCCCUGCUCUUCUGAUGUGGAUCCAGACACCAGUAACCUAAAUACUGAACAAAAUGAUUCCUGGACCUCAGAGAACUUCUGGCUUGACCCUUCCGUGAAAGGCCACCCAGAGACCAAGACAGAGGAUGAUGGACUUCGGAAAUCCCUGGACAGAUUCUAUGAAAUGUAUGGCCACCCACAGCCAGCCUCUGGAAAUCCACUCUGUGCAUCUGUCUACCAGUGCCUAUCUCAGAAAAUCAAUGAACUAGAGGGCCAGGAGAGCCAGAAGUACGCCCUCCGCAGUUUUCAAAUGGCCCGAGUUGUCUUCAACCGAGAUGGCUGUUCAGUCUUACAGAGGCAUUCCAGGGAUGCCCAUUUCUACCCACCGGAAGAAGGAAGUGUGUCUCUGGAUGAUGAAAAGCCAACCCCAGGACUUUCAAAAGAUAUUAUUCAUUUCCUCUUGCAACAGAAUGUGAUGAAAGACCUAUAAUUGGUGCCUGGUGGUGACAUCAGGCAACAUGGAGGAUAGCCCUGUGGCCACUGGUGUUAGCGUACCGCCCAGGUCCCCUUGGGUCUCGCUUGCUGGCUCUGUGGUACUGGAGCCAGUUCAGCCCACCUGGGGAGCCUGCACUGUCCGGACGUCUUACAGCUCCCAUGGCUACCACCUCCCAUCCCAUCCUACCAUUCAUUUUGACUUAAGGUCAGUGACUGACCGUCUUGGGAAUCCAAAGCCCCAGCUUUCUUGCCUCAAGACAGGACGUUCUGUGAGGCAUAAUUUACUGUGCGGCGCUCCCCUCCGGUCAGGCUAAGGCUGGGACUUCACACUCCAUCACGCCUUGCUCACUCCUUCCCUUUCCCUGCACCUCUUCUCCCAUUCACUUACUGGGGCUCCCAGAAGCCUUUCCUCAAUGAAUCUCUUGUCCCUGAAUCCUUGACUCAGAGUCUGCUUCUGGGAGAACCCAACCUAAGAGAACAGGCAUCCAUUAGGUGAGUUUUCCGAAGGGCACAAAGCCCUGUGUUCAAUCAAGCAUGACAAUCAUACGAAAUUGUAAAACUGAGACCACGUGAUUGAGAAUGCAUGUCCCAAAAUGAUAAAAAGAUUUAAAUGCAGUUCCGAAAACCAUAUCACAUCUUAAUCAUACCCUUGUCUUUCCAAAGUUCUGACUUUCACUGUGGGGUGAGGAGGGAACACUUACACCAUCUAAAAAACAGCAAAGAUUUGCAAAAAAAAAAGUCUCUACCAGAUUGCAAAUGUGAAAGGCAUAGAGAAAACAAAUGUGCACCACCUAGCAAUUGAGUGUAAGCUCAAUUAUGACACCUUAGGCUGACCCAAUGCUGCCUCGCCAAUUCGUAGUGGAAGAGAAAAAGGAAUCCUUUGCCCAAGUUGCCUUUUUCCUUUCGCUGUUUUUGCCUGCUGCCUGCCUGCUGUCCCAUCCUUGCUUUGCCAGGUAGCGGCUGUAAAUAGCCAGGGCAGGCUUGAGCUGGCAGGUGCUCUGCUCGGCAGCCACGUCCUGAACCCCAGUUUGAGAGUUGGUUGGGAGAAUGACAUCACCUGGCACCAUGCUCUCUGAAGCUGUUAUUGGAGGCCUCACACGCAUCCCUCCCUCAACAGUCCUUCAAACCAAUUUCGUUGACAGGAAGGAUUAUAGCAUUUUGUAGGGAACAACAAGAGAAGCUGGCAACACUGGGCAAUUCGAUUUUGAGAAGCUGUAGGUGAAACGUAAUUGGCAGAAUUGUCCAUAAGCUUUCUGGAAAGCUGGUUUUACAAAUAGAUGAGCCUAACGUCAUACAUGAAGUGUGAGGGUGCCCUCUCAGGCAGGGCUCCUGGGGACUGCUGGCUGGCGAGGGAAUUACAUAAUAAGGCUUCCAGUUCUGGGAAAAUCAGUGGUAAGAAAUAGCAUCGCACAUUGAAGUGCAGAGCUGCGUGGAGGCCUAACUGGUAGGAAAUAGAAAAUGAAUAGGUCUUUGAGAGAUACUUGAGGAAACUAGAUUCUAGAUUUUUCUCCAACAAGCAAUCAUCUGCAUCUUUCUCCAUGGGCUUCUCUUAUUCAACUGGCCCCCAAAUAAUCGUGAAAACAGUGGGUCUUAUAAUUGAAAAUUUAGAUUGAAUUUUAAGGGCACUAGUUUUAUUGGUUUUUAAUGUGAAGCAAAUUAAUAGACACCAUGAAGAAUGCAGUAGGUUUUAGUAGUAUUUAGUCACUGAAAGAUUGGAAAUUGGUUUCCAUGGCUACCAACAGAAGGAAGCUGGAUUAUUUUAUGCCGUUUGUAAAGGACAAAAGAUACAAACUACUUGAAUCUCCCUGCGAAGCAGCAGCUUUUAUUUGGCAAUGAUAUUGUAGUAUCAUUAAUUUUGUGGCCUUUAUUAAUAUCAUUUCUGGGGCUGCUCAGCAAGAGGUAGACUCUGAAACCACAGAAUUUAGAAGUCUAAAAGCCAGAAUCACCCAGGGUAAAAAAAGGAGUAUGAUGUGUGCUUGCUUGUAUCUGAGUAAGUGCUUGUGACAGGUCAGUACAAGAUAUUUGAUUCCCUGCAAUCUCACUCCUUAAUUUGAUCUUCAUAAGGUUAGGAUGGCAUUUUCCAUUUAUCUCUGCUUACCUUUAAUAAAGACUAAGAGAUAACAAUAUUGAGGCUCUGGCCUUUGACAUUAUGGUCUAAUUCUGCCCUAUAGAACCCUUCACCAACAUCUUAUCAUCCCGUGAAAGUUCUGACUGGUCUAUGAUAUUGGCUGUGCCCUUUUCAGAGGUCUCUGUGAGGAUGGAUUUGCUUACAGGACCGUCAGAACACUAAAGAGAGCUGCUACCAGUAUUUUAAGUUUGUGAGCUCUCCGCCCACGUUACAGGGUCUCUGCGAUCUAGUGCUCAUUCAUCCCUGCCUGGUAACAUGCAGCCACUCCGAAUCUGACUGCAGCCCUGGAAGUACUGAACAAAUCUCACUGACUGGCUCCCACUUCCUUCCAUUCAACAAUCGUUCUGUUGAAUAAUUGGGAAUGUCACAGUCUACAGAUAAUGCACUUUCGCCAGGUCCUCAUCAGCUUUGAUAUUUGGAGAGAUUUACAAUGUACUAAACAUGGUAAGUUUUGGGUGUGUAAGAACUACAACCCUGAAUGGGUAUAGUACUUCUCAUCUCUGGGGAAAGAGGUCAGGUUCCUUCAGGACUAUGGAUGGCAUAUACCUAAACUGCCUGUCAGCUGUGGUCAGCCAGCUGUGAGGUGGCAACUUGGCAACAUCUGUGAGAAAGGGUAGGACCUUGGUGAAAGCAGAAACACUUACUCGGUUGUUGUCUGAUAUAUAAAAUCCUACAGAUUUACUGAAUGAGUUGAAAGACCACCUAAGACUUGCCAUGCCAUCUAAUUAAUAUUAAUAAAGGAAUAUCUGGAAAUCUGAUGCUUUGCUGGUUUUCAUCACUUACUUUAAAGAAGUUUUUUUCAACCUGAGUAUCAGCCUUUAGCAGGGACUGAAUAUCCCAGAAUCAGUUGGCUCUACCAGAAAAGACCUUAAUAAAUCACCUGGGCAAUUCUUCUGCCUUCAGGCAACACCACUCUUAAAGCAUUCCUGACAGGACACUGUUUACCUAUGGUCUGAAAACUCUCCCAAAAGAGAGGUAAGAAAAAUGCCACAGCCUGUUUAUUCUCAGUGUCUCUCCUUAAUAAACUCUGGGCUUAUCCUUGCUUGAAUUUCAGCUUUAAGUUUUUAACAGAUUAUGCAUUAUGACCUCCGAAAUUUCAAAGAUUUAUUCUGCAGAAUGUCUCAAGUGACCUAUUACUAUCAUAAGCAAGAUGAUAGUGUGCAAUUAUAUGAAGUCAAAGUAGUAUUGGGGGUAAUUUAGUCUUUUAGGGAAUCAGUUAAGAUCAUAUGUAGGACUUGCUUUAAAAUGCAACAAUUAAGAUGGAGUGAUGAAUGGAUAGAUGGUGGAUAGGUGGAUAGACAUGAGGUAAACAAGUAAAGUAAAUAUUAAUGGUAAUGUCCAAGUGGUGGGUUUGAAGGUCUUAUUUGUUGAUUUUUAUCAAGUUUUCUGUAUGUUGGAUAUUUUUCAUAGUAAAAUAUUGGGAAAAUAUAUGCAAGAUAUGUUUUAAAUAUUUAAAUGUAUACCCACAGACAUUUUUUUUGUAACUUGGAGUUUAAAUUACCACAAACUUUCCUGAAGACAAUCUCUUUUCCUCAUAGAACACAUACUUGAAUAUGAAGGAUAACUUUAUUGGCUCUUGAGUGGUAGAACUAAUUAAACAAUUAAUAGGUCAUUGAUGAGUACCUCCUAAUUGCUCUGGGAGAUACCGUCACCACUUUCAAAGAACUUAAUUCAUGUUGGGAAAAUUCUUUCUAUAUUGAUCCAUCUAGAUUUCAAACUUGUCUUCUAUACCUAAUCUAUGUCAUCAGCACCUAUGUUUUAUUGCCCAGAUCAUAAAACUUACAUUUCUACCACCAACAUUAUCUAUAUCAAAUUUCAUCUACAUCUAAGUUUAGAGCAAUAUAAUUUGUAUCUACUCUUAGACCACCUUCUACAUCUGUAUUGACAUACACUCUACCCACAUCUGUGUUUACAUCUAUAUCAGUAUGUCCCUCAACAUUUACAGCUACAUUGUCUACUUCAGUGGUCCUCAACUGGGCCAGCUUUUUACCCAAGGGUAUUUGGCAACAUCCAGAAACACUUCUGACUGUUGCAGCUCUGGAUCAGGGAAGGGAGGGCCCCUGGAAUCUUGUGAGUAGAGGCCAUAGGUGCUGUGUAACAUCCUAUAAUACCCAGGGCAGUCCCUGACAACAAAGAGUUAUUCAGCCCAAAAUGUCAAUAGAGCUGAGGUUGAGAAAUCCUAAUCUACAUCAUGCCCAUCAACUACAUCCAUGUUUACAGCUAUGCCAAUCACACAUGCAUCCAUGUUGACAUCUACCCUAUCUGCGCCUGUGUUUAUGUCUACAUCAUGUAUAUCUGCAUUGACAUCUAGGUCAUUGCAGCUACACUGACAACCUCUAUAAUUUCUGCAUUAACUACAUCAUCUAUUUUAACAUCUACAUCUAUGUGAUUUACAUCUUUCACAUCCACAUCUACCUAUAUAUCUAAUUGGCAGCUGUGGGUAAAAUCGUAAUAUUUCCAGAAUAUCUCACCUGGCUUUUGUACAUCUGCAUAUCAAUAGGCAUUCAGAGGUGGAAAGAAGUUUGGCUUUAGUUCAUUUGCAUACAGGGAUUGAGAGAAGUUCUUCUCCAUAUUAGUGGGUAAUUACCUGGGCAACAGGGGGCUUA